Long non-coding RNA from Chinchilla lanigera (long-tailed chinchilla), 380 nucleotides. RefSeq lists it as uncharacterized. Lineage: Eukaryota; Metazoa; Chordata; Mammalia; Rodentia; Chinchillidae. The transcript is spliced from 2 exons. The record is from RefSeq and is a predicted model, not a curated record.
AUUUCUGGCUUUUCCCAAAAGUCAAAAUGACCGUCAGAGUUGAACACUGUGAAUCAGUUCAGGAUACCAAGAGUGCCUGGACAGGACAACUUGAGAGACUCCUGAAAGAAGACUCCAGAACUCUUCAGAAAGUGGCAAAAAUGAUGUGGUGCUCCAACUAACAGCUGCAAAAAGAAAGCGUGGCGGACAAUAGAAUGGAGGUGAUGGUGAUGUAGGAUUGAUGAGUCUGUGAAUGCAGACAGCACAGCACUCCUGCCCCUCACUGUCACCGCAGCGAUCUAUGGCUCCUGGACUCCUUUAUAGUCCUACCGCAUAACUUCCCAAUGGUAUGUCUGUAUCGAUAAAAAUGGCCAUAUAAACAUACAUUGUUUUUCUUUUAA